Molecule: long non-coding RNA, 828 nt
Filed under: Helianthus annuus (common sunflower)
Lineage: Eukaryota; Viridiplantae; Streptophyta; Magnoliopsida; Asterales; Asteraceae
Description: sRNA HanXRQr2_Chr02g0068651
Source: RNAcentral
UUGGGAUCAGUCUAGACCAAGAGAUGGAAAACCUAAAAGCUUCCAAACAUGUGUCUGCCAUAAGUUGAAUGUCUUCCUGCACAUUUAGAUUCAGUCAAGCUGGAGCAAGUUACUUUAAUUUGGGAUGUACUCUAGUUAACUAGCACCACUUAUUGACCAAUGAAAUCUACUCAUAUUAUAAAAAGAAAACUUUACAUUAACCUAAAACCCCUGACUCUAUAUAUAUAGAUAUAUUCACAGAAUCCACCCUAUUUUUCAUUUUAUAUACUAAACGGGUCAACCUGUGAGCCUGAUGGGUUUAACCCGAACCUGAUAAAUUCGCAUUCGUUUCGUGUCGUGUUUUCAGGUCGAGUCAAAAAUUCACACCCCUACCUAAAAUCCUAAUUCGCCAGGUGAAACCCAGUUUAGAGGUUUUCGCCCAUCAACCACUACCAUCCCGACACUAACCUGUAAUAGAAACUUCCCAAAUGAGAUUCACCUAUGUUAUGCCACCUGCUGCCAAUCAAAUAAACUAAUUUCAUGUUAACGAAGUUUUUUCUGAAGAAGAUGAUAGUGGCGGCUAAAACGACAGGCAUACAAGGACAAUAGCAAGGUUAUGCCCCAAUCGACUUUAUAUGCAAUCAAAUUGUAGCUGAAUAUCGCUAAUUUCUUGAAGAGAUUUCUUGAAGAGUUGGCUCUCUAAUAUGGUUCUUCCUCUUUCUGCAUCUAGAUAAACAAUUCUGGUUUUGCCCUAAAAGCAUUUUUUACAAGGGAAGCGUAUGACAAUUUUGGGUAGUGGGGAUUAACAGAACUGGGAACUGCCUGUAACUUCUGCAUUUUAGGAUAUAG